This is a non-coding RNA of Coemansia sp. RSA 2607, 72 nucleotides long. The record is from the annotation of a GenBank genome assembly. Lineage: Eukaryota; Fungi; Kickxellomycota; Kickxellomycetes; Kickxellales; Kickxellaceae.
GGUCUUAUAGUGUAGUGGUUAGCACAGCGGGUUUUGAUCCCGCUAACCCGAGUUCGAAUCUCGGUAAGACCU